GGGAAAGUGCAAGAGUUGGUUUCUAAACACAAGGAAGACCACUUCUCUCGUUAUUAACUUAACUUGAAUCACAAAGUAACAAAUAAGCAAACCGGUUGAAUCAAUUUUAUUUGCGAUUUGGAAUCCUUUGCCAGUUUGAUCUUCUCUGAACCGGUACCGACCCAACUGUGAGUCCAUCAUCAUGACUCUUUAUUACUAAGAAGAUUUGUCAUAGAAAACUCAGCAAUCUCUCAAUUAGAACAAAUCAAAC
RNAcentral lists this long non-coding RNA (250 nucleotides) under Capsella rubella. RNAcentral's name for it is "long non-coding RNA (CRUB_LNC004956)". Lineage: Eukaryota; Viridiplantae; Streptophyta; Magnoliopsida; Brassicales; Brassicaceae. The record is from RNAcentral.